GAUGAACGCUGGCGGCGUGCCUAAUACAUGCAAGUCGAGCGAACAGACGAGGAGCUUGCUCCUUCGACGUUAGCGGCGGACGGGUGAGUAACACGUAGGUAACCUACCUAUAAGACUGGGAUAACUUCGGGAAACCGGAGCUAAUACCGGAUAAUAUUUCGAACCGCAUGGUUCGAUAGUGAAAGAUGGCUUUGCUAUCACUUAUAGAUGGACCUGCGCCGUAUUGGCUAGUUGGUAAGGUAACGGCUUACCAAGGCAACGAUACGUAGCCGACCUGAGAGGGUGAUCGGCCACACUGGAACUGAGACACGGUCCAGACUCCUACAGGAGGCAGCAGUAGGGAAUCUUCCGCAAUGGGCGAAAGCCUGACGGAGCAACGCCGCGUGAGUGAUGAAGGUCUUCGGAUCGUAAAACUCUGUUAUUAGGGAAGAACAAACGUGUAAGUAACUGUGCACGUCUUGACGGUACCUAAUCAGAAAGCCACGGCUAACCACGUG
This 497-nucleotide ribosomal RNA is filed under the name uncultured bacterium. RNAcentral's name for it is "partial 16S ribosomal RNA". It matches the Rfam family "Bacterial small subunit ribosomal RNA", at positions 28 to 507 of the family's 1533-position model. The record is from RNAcentral.